This 889-nucleotide ribosomal RNA is filed under the name uncultured Mycobacteriales bacterium. Its description in RNAcentral is "bacterial SSU rRNA". It matches the Rfam family "Bacterial small subunit ribosomal RNA", at positions 12 to 915 of the family's 1533-position model. Lineage: Bacteria; Bacillati; Actinomycetota; Actinomycetes; Mycobacteriales. The record is from RNAcentral.
UUUGAUCAUGGCUCAGGACGAACGCUGGCGGCGUGCUUAACACAUGCAAGUCGAGCGAUGAAGUUUCUUCGGAAAUGGAUUAGCGGCGAACGGGUGAGGAACACGUGAAGAAUCUGCCCUCCACUUUGGGAUAACACCGGGAAACCGGUGCUAAUACCGAAUAUUGAAACAUAAGUGGCAUCACUGAGUUUUGAAAGAAUUUCGGUGGAGGAUGACUUCGCGGCCUAUCAGCUAGUUGGUGAGGUAAUGGCUCACCAAGGCAACGACGGGUAGCCGGCCUGAGAGGGCGACCGGCCACACUGGGACUGAGACACGGCCCAGACUCCUACGGGAGGCAGCAGUGGGGAAUAUUGGGCAAUGGAGGAAACUCUGACCCAGCGACGCCGCGUGCGGGAUGAAGGCCUUCGGGUUGUAAACCGCUUUCAGUAGGGAAGAAGCGAAAGUGACGGUACCUACAAAAGAAGCACCGGCUAACUAUGUGCCAGCAGCCGCGGUAAUACAUAGGGUGCAAGCGUUGUCCGGAAUUAUUGGGCGUAAAGAGCUCGUAGGUCGUUUGUUACGUCGGAUGUGAAAACCUGAGGCUCAACCUCAGGCCUGCAUUCGAUACGGGCAAACUAGAGUUUGGUAGGGGAGACUGGAAUUCCUGGUGUAGCGGUGGAAUGCGCAGAUAUCAGGAGGAACACCAAUGGCGAAGGCAGGUCUCUGGGCCAAUACUGACACUGAGGAGCGAAAGUCUGGGGAGCGAACAGGAUUAGAUACCCUGGUAGUCCAGACCGUAAACGGUGGGCACUAGUUGUGGGAACCUUCCACGGUUUCUGCGACGCAGCUAACGCAUUAAGUGCCCCGCCUGGGGAGUACGAUCGCAAGAUUAAACUCAAAUGAAUUGACG